Molecule: ribosomal RNA, 274 nt
Filed under: uncultured bacterium
Lineage: Bacteria
Description: partial 16S ribosomal RNA
Rfam family: Bacterial small subunit ribosomal RNA
Source: RNAcentral
AUACGGAGGGGGCUAGCGUUGUUCGGAAUUACUGGGCGUAAAGCGUACGUAGGCGGACUGAUCAGUUGGGGGUGAAAUCCCAGGGCUUAACCCUGGAACUGCCUUCAAUACUGUCAGUCUUGAGAUUGGAAGAGGUGAGUGGAAUUCCUAGUGUAGAGGUGAAAUUCAUAGAUAUUAGGAGGAACACCAGUGGCGAAGGCGGCUAACUGGUCCAAUACUGACGCUGAGGUACGAAAGCGUGGGGAGCAAACAGGAUUAGAUACCCUAGUAGUCC